GAAAGGGCCAGCUGAGCUGCUAUGCCACCUGCUCAUCAGCUGGGGAGGCCUGCCCUGGUCCCUCCGUCCAUGCCUGCAGGUAGGGGCUGGUCGGGUGACCUCCUGUGCUGUGGUCUGUCUCUUCCAGUGGUUUCCAGUGACAGUGACAGUGACUCAGAUCUUAGCUCCUCCAGCCUAGAGGACAGACUCCCACCCACUGGGGUCAGGGACCGGAAAGGCGACAAACCCUGGAAGGAGUCAGGUGGCAGCGUGGAGGCCCCCAGGAUGGGGUUCACCCACCCGCCGGGCCACCUCUCUGGGUGCCAGAGCAGCCUGGCCAGUGAGACGGGGACAGGCUCUGCCGACCCGCCAGGGGGACCCCGACCCGGGCCGACCCGAAGGGCCCCGGUAAAAGACACACCUGGACGAGCCCCCGCUGCUGACGCAGCUCCAGCAGGCCCCUCCAGCUGCCUGGGCUGAGGUGUCUGGUGCCUGGAACAGACUUCCCUGUGGAGGAUUCCUGCCAGACCCUGCCCGGCUCCUCCCUGACCGGUCCUUGUGCCCUCACCAGACACCCUGUUGGCCACGACUCAACAAACCAGUGUUGGGAGCCGUCUGCCUCCCCACCUCAGUGCCU
RNAcentral lists this long non-coding RNA (616 nucleotides) under Pan troglodytes (chimpanzee). RNAcentral describes it as "long non-coding RNA NONPTRT006996". The record is from RNAcentral. Lineage: Eukaryota; Metazoa; Chordata; Mammalia; Primates; Hominidae.